This is a long non-coding RNA of Rhagoletis zephyria (snowberry fruit fly), 138 nucleotides long. RefSeq lists it as uncharacterized. NCBI's taxonomy places the organism in Eukaryota, Metazoa, Arthropoda, Insecta, Diptera, Tephritidae. The record is from RefSeq and is a predicted model, not a curated record.
UAGCAAAAGUGUGAAGAUGUCACGUGUUGUAAAAACGUGUCUGCAUCUAAAGUACAUGUGAAAAAGCAAAUUAUAUGUGAUUUUAUUUGGCGUAUUUACUGGCGUACUACAUGUACAAUUUAACAUUAAAUGAGUUAA